Molecule: ribosomal RNA, 476 nt
Filed under: uncultured soil bacterium
Lineage: Bacteria
Description: bacterial SSU rRNA
Rfam family: Bacterial small subunit ribosomal RNA
Source: RNAcentral
AGAACGAACGCUGGCGGCGCGCCUAAUACAUGCAAGUCGAGCGAGAAGGUGUAGCAAUACACUUGUAAAGCGGCGAACGGGUGAGAAAUACAUGGGUAACCUACCAUCGAGUGGGGAAUAACCAGCCGAAAGGUUGGCUAAUACCGCGUACGCCUCCGAGUCUUCGGAUUCGGAGGGAAAGCCGCACUGAGAGUGCGGCGCUCUUUGAUGGGCUCAUGUCCUAUCAGCUUGUUGGUAGGUAACGGCCUACCAAGGCUUUGACGGGUAGCUGGUCUGAGAGGACGAUCAGCCACACUGGCACUGCGACACGGGCCAGACUCCGUACGGGAGGCAGCAGGUAAGGAAUAGUUGGACGUCAAGUGGGACGGAAAGCCGUGACGACGAGCCGAACGCCGGCGGUAGGGGGAUGGAAGGUCGUUCGGAUUACGGUUAAACCCGUUUCGGGAAGGGAACGGUAGUAGGGAACGAGUACGAAA